ACUCCUACGGGAGGCAGCAGUGGGGAAUAUUGCACAAUGGGCGCAAGCCUGAUGCAGCAACGCCGCGUGAGGGAUGAAGGCCUUCGGGUUGUAAACCUCUUUUAGCAGGGAAGAAGCGAAAGUGACGGUACCUGCAGAAAAAGCACCGGCUAACUACGUGCCAGCAGCCGCGGUAAUACGUAGGGUGCAAGCGUUGUCCGGAAUUAUUGGGCGUAAAGGGUGCGUAGGUUGUUAUUUAAGUCAUGUGGGAAAUACCUGGGCUCAACCUGGGAAUGACGGAUGAUACUGAAUGACUGAGAGUAUAGGUAGAGGGUAGUGGAAUUUCCGGUGUAGCGGUGAAAUGCGUAGGAGAUCGAAGGAACACCAGUGGCGAAGGCGGCUACCUGGACUAAUACUGACACUGAGGCAC
Molecule: ribosomal RNA, 409 nt
Filed under: uncultured bacterium
Lineage: Bacteria
Description: bacterial SSU rRNA
Rfam family: Bacterial small subunit ribosomal RNA
Source: RNAcentral